UUCCGGUUGAUCCUGCCAGACCCGACUGCUAUCAGAGUAGGACUAAGCCAUGCGAGUCAACGUAUGAAUAAUACGUGGCGAACGGCUCAGUAGCACGUAGUCAACAUGCCCAAAGGACGUGGAUAACCUCGGGAAACUGAGGAUAAACCGCGAUAGGUCAUAAUUACUGGAAUGUGUUAUGGCUCAAAUCUAUAUGGCCUUUGGAUUGGACUGCGGCCGAUCAGGCUGUUGGUGAGGUAAUGGCCCACCAAACCUGUAACCGGUACGGGCUCUGAGAGGAGGAGCCCGGAGAUGGGCACUGAGACAAGGGCCCAGGCCCUAUGGGGCGCAGCAGGCGCGAAACCUCUGCAAUGGGCGAAAGCCUGACAGGGUUACUCUGAGUGAUUUCCGCUAAGGGAAUCUUUUGGCACCUCUAAAAAUGGUGCAGAAUAAGGGGUGGGCAAGUCUGGUGUCACCCGCCGCGGUAAUACCAGCACCCCGAGUGGUCGGGACGAUUAUUGGGCCUAAAGCAUCCGUAGCCGGUCUUGCAAGUCUUCCGUUAAAUCCACCCUGCUUAACAGAUGGGCUGCGGAGGAUACUAUAAGGCUAGGAGGCGGGAGAGGCAAGCGGUACUCAGUGGGUAGGGGUAAAAUCCUCUGAUCCAUGAAGACCACCAGUGGCGAAGGCGG
This 668-nucleotide ribosomal RNA is filed under the name uncultured archaeon. RNAcentral describes it as "bacterial SSU rRNA". It matches the Rfam family "Archaeal small subunit ribosomal RNA", at positions 1 to 675 of the family's 1478-position model. The record is from RNAcentral.